This 497-nucleotide ribosomal RNA is filed under the name uncultured bacterium. RNAcentral describes it as "partial 16S ribosomal RNA". It matches the Rfam family "Bacterial small subunit ribosomal RNA", at positions 28 to 507 of the family's 1533-position model. The record is from RNAcentral.
GAUGAACGCUGGCGGCGUGCCUAAUACAUGCAAGUCGAGCGAACGGACGAGAAGCUUGCUUCUCUGAUGUUAGCGGCGGACGGGUGAGUAACACGUGGAUAACCUACCUAUAAGACUGGGAUAACUUCGGGAAACCGGAGCUAAUACCGGAUAAUAUUUUGCACCGCAUGGUUCAAAAGUGAAAGACGGUCUUGCUGUCACUUAUAGAUGGAUCCGCGCUGCAUUAGCUAGUUGGUAAGGUAACGGCUUACCAAGGCAACGAUGCAUAGCCGACGUCAGAGGGGGAUCGGCGACAUGGGAACGUAGACAGGGACCAGGGGACUACGGGAGGCAGCAGUAGGGAAUCGGCGGCAAAGGGCGAAAGCCUGACGGAGCAACGCGGAGUGUGUGAUGAAGGUCUUCGGAUCGUAAAACUCUGUUAUUAGGUAAGAACAGAUGUGUAAGUAACUGUGCACAUCUUGACGGUACCGAAUAAGAAAGCCACGGCUAACUACGUG